CUCUUAUCAAGAGUUGGCUGAGGGAUUUGGCCCUAUGACGCCCAGCAACCGACCGUAAUACCAUUGUGAAAUGGAGCGCAGCUUUUUAGCGCUAUAAAACAAUUCGUUGUUUUAUGAAGGCACGGUGCUAAUUCCAACAGAAAGAGAAAUCUUUCUGGCAGAUAAGAG
This 168-nucleotide non-coding RNA is filed under the name Bacillus sp. (in: firmicutes). RNAcentral's name for it is "Bacillus sp. SAM-I sequence". It matches the Rfam family "SAM riboswitch aptamer (S box leader)". Rfam says of the family: The SAM riboswitch is found upstream of a number of genes which code for proteins involved in methionine or cysteine biosynthesis in Gram-positive bacteria. RNAcentral also lists the same sequence under 1 other name. The record is from RNAcentral. Lineage: Bacteria; Bacillati; Bacillota; Bacilli; Caryophanales; Bacillaceae.